GACGAACGCUGGCGGCGUGCUUAACACAUGCAAGUCGAACGGUAAGGCCCUUCGGGUACACGAGUGGCGAACGGGUGAGUAACACGUGGUGAUCUGCCCUGUACUUCGGGAUAAGCCUGGGAAACUGGGUCUAAUACCGGAUAGGACCAUGGACUUCACGGUUUGUGGUGGAAAGCUUUUGCGGUGUGGGAUGGGCCCGCGGCCUAUCAGCUUGUUGGUGGGGUAAUGGCCUACCAAGGCGACGACGGGUAGCCGGCCUGAGAGGGUGUCCGGCCACACUGGGACUGAGAUACGGCCCAGACUCCUACGGGAGGCAGCAGUGGGGAAUAUUGCACAAU
This 338-nucleotide ribosomal RNA is filed under the name uncultured bacterium. RNAcentral's name for it is "bacterial SSU rRNA". It matches the Rfam family "Bacterial small subunit ribosomal RNA", at positions 28 to 372 of the family's 1533-position model. The record is from RNAcentral.